GACGAACGCUGGCGGCGUGCUUAACACAUGCAAGUCGAACGGAAAGGCCCUGCUUUUGUGGGGUUCUCGAGUGGCGAACGGGUGAGUAACACGUGAGUAACCUGCCCUUGACUUUGGGAUAACUUCAGGAAACUGGGGCUAAUACCGGAUAGGAGCUGCUGCUGCAUGGUGGGGGUUGGAAAGUUUCGGCGGUUGGGGAUGGACUCGCGGCUUAUCAGCUUGUUGGUGGGGUAGUGGCUUACCAAGGCUUUGACGGGUAGCCGGCCUGAGAGGGUGACCGGCCACAUUGGGACUGAGAUACGGCGCAGACUCCUACGGGAGGCAGCAGGGGGGAAUAUUGCACAAUGGGCGGAAGCCUGAUGCAGCAACGCCGCGUGCGGGAUGACGGCCUUCGGGUUGUAAACCGCUGUCGCCUGUGACGAAGCGUGAGUGACGGUAAUGGGUAAAGAAGCACCGGCUAACUACGUG
This 468-nucleotide ribosomal RNA is filed under the name uncultured bacterium. RNAcentral describes it as "partial 16S ribosomal RNA". It matches the Rfam family "Bacterial small subunit ribosomal RNA", at positions 28 to 507 of the family's 1533-position model. The record is from RNAcentral.